Molecule: ribosomal RNA, 258 nt
Filed under: uncultured bacterium
Lineage: Bacteria
Description: partial 16S ribosomal RNA
Rfam family: Bacterial small subunit ribosomal RNA
Source: RNAcentral
GAUCAUGGCUCAGGAUGAACGCUAGCUACAGGCUUAACACAUGCAAGUCGAGGGGCAUCGGGAAGAAAGCUUGCUUUCUUUGCUGGCGACCGGCGCACGGGUGAGUAACACGUAUCCAACCUGCCCUUUACUCGGGGAUAGCCUUUCGAAAGAAAGAUUAAUACCCGAUGGGAUAAUUAUUCCGCAUGGUUUGAUUAUUAAAGGAUUCCGGUAAAGGAUGGGGAUGCGUUCCAUUAGGUUGUUGGUGAGGGUAACGGU